Echinops telfairi (small Madagascar hedgehog) is the source of this 127-nucleotide small nucleolar RNA. The record is from Ensembl. Lineage: Eukaryota; Metazoa; Chordata; Mammalia; Afrosoricida; Tenrecidae.
UGGUCGUCACCAAGGCUUUUAGAAUGCAGCUUCGGAUCUGCUUUGGACAAGACCACAAAAAAAUUUCCCAAGAGGUUUUUGCUCUUUUCUUGCGACCUUGCUAGCAUCCCACCAACUGGGGGCACCA